Non-coding RNA from Oncorhynchus mykiss (rainbow trout), 1808 nucleotides. NCBI's taxonomy places the organism in Eukaryota, Metazoa, Chordata, Actinopteri, Salmoniformes, Salmonidae. The record is from RefSeq and is a predicted model, not a curated record.
UGGAGGGACAAUAGAGCCCUGAGUACCAGGCCAUUAGGACCUGUUGGAGGGACAAUAGAGCCCUGAGUACCAGGCCAUUAGGACCUGUUGGAGGGACAAUAGAGCCCUGAGUACCAGGCCAUUAAGACCUGAUGGUAGUUAGCCAGUGUUUUGUGUACUACAUCAUCCAUUUAGUAUGAUAUGUUUAUUUUUUGUUGUUGUGCAAUUCCAUCCCGGACUGCAUCUUCAAGGAAGUACAGUGAAAUUCCAAUUCUCUACUAUGCUUUUUGAUAAGGACAAUUUGGAAUUGGAAUUUGGUUUACUUUUUGAAUUGCCUGGAAUUUAAAUGUAAUGGACACCAACCCUGUGGUGAACACAGCUCUGGUUUGAAGGGGAACCCUGGACUGACCAGGUUCAUUAAGGUUGAAGGGGAACCCUGGGCUGACCAGGUUCAUUAAGGUUGAAGGGGAGCCAUGGGCUGACCAUGUUCAUUAAGGUUGAAGGGGAACCCUGGGCUGACCAGGUUCAUUAAGGUUGAAGGGGAACCCUGGACUGACCAGGUUCAUUAAGGUUGAAGGGGAACCCUGAGCUGACCAGGUUCAUUAAGGUUGAAGGGGAACCCUGGACUGACCAGGUUCAUUAAGGUAGAAGGGGAACCCUGGGCUGACCAGGUUCAUUAAGGUUGAAGGGGAACCCUGGACUGACCAGGUUAAUUAAUGUUGAAGGGGAGCCCUGGACUGACUAUGUUCAUUAAGGUUGAAGGGGAACCCUGGGCUGACCAGGUUCAUUAAGGUUGAAGGGGAACCAUGGGCUGACCAUGUUCAUUAAGGUUGAAGGGGAACCCUGGGCCGACCAGGUUCAUUAAGGUUGAAGGGGAACCCUGGACUGACCAGGUUCAUUAAGGUUGAAGGGGAACCCUGGACUGACUAUGUUCAUUAAGGUUGAAGGGUAUCCCUGGGCCGACCAGGUUCAUUAAGGUUGAAGGGGAACCCUGGGCAGACCAGGUUCAUUAAGGUUGAAGGGGAACCCUGGGCCGACCAGGUUCAUUAAGGUUGAAGGGGAACCCUGGGCUGACCAGGUUCAUUAAGGUUGAAGGGGAACCCUGGACUGACCAGGUUCAUUAAGGUUGAAGGGGAACCCUGGGCUGACCAGGUUCAUUAAGGUUGAAGGGGACACUGGACUGACCAGGUUCAAUAAGGUUGAAGGGGAACCUGGGCAGACCAGGUUCAUUAAGGUUGAAGGGGAACCCUGGGCUGACCAGGUUCAUUAAGGUUGAAGGGGAACCCUGGACUGACCAGGUUCAUUAAGGUUGAAGGGGAACCCUGGGCUGACCAGGUUCAUUAAGGUUGAAGGGGAACACUGGACUGACCAGGUUCAAUAAGGUUGAAGGGGAACCUGGGCUGACCAGGUUCAUUAAGGUUGAAGGGGAACCCUGGGCUGACCAGGUUCAUUAAGGUUGAAGGGGAACCCUGGGCUGACCAGGUUCAUUAAGGUUGAAGGGGAACCCUGGGCUGACCAGGUUCAUUAAGGUUGAAUGGGGCAGUGGGGUGUUGGCUCGCGUUAGAAGGUGAUAAAUACACCAAAAGCUCAUGGCACUUUGCAGGAAAUCUUUUAAAACAAAAAGCAUUGAAAUAUGAAAAUAUCCUCUUCCUGUAUUUUAAACAUGUCGGACUUUUAGAUAUGUCCCAAAUGCUUCAACUUAUUUGACCUUUUUUCAAAAUGCAUACAUUUAUAUUGAACAAUGAUAAGUUCUGUAUAUGACUUGUAAAAUAUGACAUGAUUGUAUGUUCAUUGUAAAUACAUUAAAUACUAUUUUAGUUUUUACUAUG